AUUGAACGCUGGCGGCAGGCCUAACACAUGCAAGUCGAGCGGAGCGGCGGACGGGUGAGUACUGCCUAGGAAUCUGCCUGGUAGUGGGGGAUAACGUCCGGAGAAGGGCGCUAAUACCGCAUACUAUCAGAUGAGCCUAGGUCGGAUUAGCUGGUUGGUGGGGUAAAGGCCUACCAGGUCGACGAUCCGUAACUGGUCUGAGCGGAUGAUCAGGCACACUGGAACUGAGACACGGGCCAUACUCCGACGGGAGGCAGCAGUGGUGAAUAUUGGACAAUGGGCGAAAGCCUGAUCCAGCCAUGCCGCGUGUGUGAAGAAGGUCUUCGGAUUGUAAAGCACUUUAAGUUGGGAGGCGUUACCAACAGAAUAAGCACCGGCUAACUUCGUGCCAGCAGCCGCGGUAAUUC
RNAcentral lists this ribosomal RNA (407 nucleotides) under uncultured bacterium. Its description in RNAcentral is "partial 16S ribosomal RNA". It matches the Rfam family "Bacterial small subunit ribosomal RNA", at positions 30 to 526 of the family's 1533-position model. The record is from RNAcentral.